GACGAGACGCGAUACGUAAAUAUAUGGGCGGAUUAACACAAAGUAAACACACCGCACUGACACUUUGGAUUACGAUUACAGACACAGUAGAGUUAGAGACAGUUCGAUAAAAGGUCGGUAGUUCUAGCCGUCAGAAUAAAACUAAUUUUCAAUAUUUCAUCACGAUCUAGGUCCGUCGCAUAGACGAACAAGAUAUCGAAUUAAGCGCAAAAAAUUUGAGUUACCGUAGAGAAGGAAGGUGGUGACUAAUUGCAGUGAAACCCGAAGGAAAGACGCGAAAUUUGACGAAGUUAAGUUGACACGUUUAUCACUCUAGCACUCACACAUGCACACACGCAACACCAAUUACAGCUUACAAUUGUGUGAUCCACAAGUGCACGACGACUUGUUUUUCACAUUGGUGUCGCCGUAAACUCUGUACAGUUAGUUCAUCGCCUGUGCGCAACAAUGAUUGAGAGGCAGCAAUGGAUCACGAGUUUACUUACCCUUCACUAAAUUCAUGCCCAAGAGGAGCAGUAAACAGAACAGAGAACGAAAAAGACCAUGGAAACUCUACAAUACAAAAUGCAAAGCCCAACCCUGAUGAUCCCGGAAGCUUACGACAGCCGUAAAUUCGUCUGGAUUUUCCCGGUGUGUGACCACCCUGAUUUUGAUUUUGGUCAAAACGACGCGGUGCGAAAUUCCGCAACAAAUAACCACACGAGACGUCAUGCUCUACGAAGUGAUUCAAACACUAUAAUUAUUGAUUAAAAUAUACCGCCUGCACACGGACUCCCACACAUCGCUAUACGUAAGUAUCUAGUAUGACGCCAUUAUAUCCCACUCAGCGCAUAAUAUGAGCAACUGAGAUGUGUCAAAAUCAUAAAUCUUUGGCAGAAGUGUUUUAUU
Molecule: long non-coding RNA, 888 nt
Organism: Diprion similis
Lineage: Eukaryota; Metazoa; Arthropoda; Insecta; Hymenoptera; Diprionidae
Exons: 3
Source: RefSeq, a predicted model, not a curated record